GAUUUUAGAUAAUUCUUACUAUUAUUAAUUUUAAUCAAUUAUAUAAUCAAAUAAAUUAAAAUUUCAUUUUUAUUUUUGAAUUUAUCUAUACAUUUUAUUAAUUAAGGGUAUAAACGAUAUUAACCGCUCUAACUUUUAACGUGAGAGCUCCGUUGCAAAAUUUUACUUCGCAAAUAAUAGUAUAGAUUAAAUCACCAAAAAUAAAGAGCUUUUUUCGUUUCGUCUUGCGAGUGACCAUUUUUUUUCACGCCGAAAUACAUAUCUCUCUCCAUCAAAUGAGACGCGGCCACGUCACUAAGGACUUGAUCCUUAAACUCCUUGUCUACGGAUCGCUCCUUACCGAACUGGGCUUUGAUAAUAUUAUUUUAUAUCCGGAUUCGCCUAGGAUAUAGUACUAAGGAUUCGUCAAAAUGGGCCGUUGUGGAUGCUCUUAUAAUUAAGGUCACAUUCUCAAUUACUUUGUGCAGUUUAUUUUAUGAAUUCUAAAUAUAUAUUCAACAUGAUCAAUGUGCUUCUUAGAAAAAGUUCUAAAAUGCUGUCUUUUCGGAAUAUACAAAUUGCUCGGCCGUAAAUUAAGGAAAAUAAAAUAAUGUCAUAAGUGGGGUUUGAACCCACGCCACGCCCUCUUUCGAGGACCAGAACAUGAGUCUGCUGUGGAUGCUCUUAUAAUUAAGGUCACAUUCUCAAUUACUUUGUGCAGUUUAUUUUAUGAAUUCUAAAUAUAUAUUCAACAUGAUCAGUGUGCUUCUUAGAAAAAGUUCUAAAAUGCUGUCUUUUCGGAAUAUACAAAUUGCUCGGCCGUAAAUUAAGGAAAAUAAAAUAAUGUCAGAAGUGGGGUUUGAACCCACGCCCUCUUUCGAGGACCAGAACUUGAGUCUGCUAUGGAUGCUCUUAUAAUUAAGGUCACAUUCUCAAUUACUUUGUGCAGUUUAUUUUAGAAAUAUUUAUCCUCCAAGACACUUUAUGAGUUAUCAAUUACACAUAAAGACACAUUGAGUUAAGAGAACACUUUCUUAUGCUCAUUUGUCUGAAUUGCCCUUCAACUAGAAAGAAGAUGUCAUAACAUGUAUCAAAAUUAUUUUCAAUAUAAUUCCAUUUAAUUUUCACCUUUUACUUUCAAAUUUUUUAAUUCCCUAAAUUUAAUCAUGUCUCAAUCUAUCGUCAUCUUCAUCUCUCAUCUUUCAUAUCCUUCUAAAUAUUUUUUUUCUUCACAAAAUUUGUAGACUUUUUUUUUUAUAAUUCUAAAUCACUAAUUUUUGUUGUCGAGUUUUUAUCUUUCACCACUUUAUUUUUUAAAUCUCGAAUUCAUGGAAACCUCAAAUUGGGAGGUGAGGAAAGCCGAUUAUGAAAUCUCAGCUUGGAAGAUUCCAGAUCUUCACCGACGAAUACAUCCAAGACAGCAAAGCCGAUGUAUCUCCUGCAACAUUUGAUUCACAUGUCACCCAUCCUUUUCAUGUCCAUCAAUUUCCUUGUCCACAAAUGAACUAUCCACAAAGCUGUCUUGGAUCUAAGUUUGAUUCACAUGUCGCCCAUCCUUUACAGUGGAUGAGCUCGUGAUUUUCCGUGGAUGAACUUGGGAUUUGACGUGGAUGAACUCGAGGUAGUUGCCUUAGAUCUAAGUUUUUUAUCUCUUCAGUCUUCAUGGUGGCUUCUGUUGCAGAUAGAAAGCUCUAAAAGAAGCAAUGGUCAAAUUACUCUAUUUUACACAUAUGGUCCUCCUAUUUUUGGAUUUUUGCAAUUUGACCCCAACAUUCUUUAAUUUACUUAUAGAUCCUCUUGAUUUUGUCUCAAACUUUUAAUUAUGUACUUUAAUCCGCAAGAAUAAUUUUCUUAUCAACUCAUAUCCACACUUGCUAUGUCCAUUAGAAAUUAUUUAAUAAAAUUAAAAUU
Long non-coding RNA from Brassica rapa (field mustard), 1890 nucleotides. RefSeq lists it as uncharacterized. The record is from RefSeq and is a predicted model, not a curated record. Lineage: Eukaryota; Viridiplantae; Streptophyta; Magnoliopsida; Brassicales; Brassicaceae.